CUUUGGUGGCGACCGGCGCACGGGUGCGUAACGCAUAUGCAACCUACCUUUAACAGGGGCAUAACACUGAGAAAUUGGUACUAAUUCCCCAUAACAUUCGAGAAGGCAUCUUCUUGGGUUAAAAACUCCGGUGGUUAAAGAUGGGCAUGCGUUGUAUUAGCUAGUUGGUGAGGUAACGGCUCACCAAGGCAACGAUACAUAGGGGGACUGAGAGGUUAACCCCCCACAUUGGUACUGAGACACGGACCAA
This 250-nucleotide ribosomal RNA is filed under the name uncultured bacterium. RNAcentral's name for it is "partial 16S ribosomal RNA". It matches the Rfam family "Bacterial small subunit ribosomal RNA", at positions 83 to 334 of the family's 1533-position model. The record is from RNAcentral.